RNAcentral lists this ribosomal RNA (1345 nucleotides) under uncultured bacterium. RNAcentral describes it as "bacterial SSU rRNA". It matches the Rfam family "Bacterial small subunit ribosomal RNA", at positions 28 to 1381 of the family's 1533-position model. The record is from RNAcentral.
GACGAACCCUUGCGGCGUGCUUACACAUGCAAGUCGAACGGAAAGGCCCUGCUUUUGUGGGGUGCUCGAGUGGCGAACGGGUGAGUAACACGUGAGUAACCUGCCCUUGACUUUGGGAUAACUUCAGGAAACUGGGGCUAAUACCGGAUAGGAGCUCCUGCUGCAUGGUGGGGGUUGGAAAGUUUCGGCGGUUGGGGAUGGACUCGCGGCUUAUCAGCUUGUUGGUGGGGUAGUGGCUUACCAAGGCUUUGACGGGUAGCCGGCCUGAGAGGGUGACCGGCCACAUUGGGACUGAGAUACGGCCCAGACUCCUACGGGAGGCAGCAGUGGGGAAUAUUGCACAAUGGGCGGAAGCCUGAUGCAGCAACGCCGCGUGCGGGAUGACGGCCUUCGGGUUGUAAACCGCUUUCGCCUGUGACGAAGCGUGAGUGACGGUAAUGGGUAAAGAAGCACCGGCUAACUACGUGCCAGCAGCCGCGGUGAUACGUAGGGUGCGAGCGUUGUCCGGAUUUAUUGGGCGUAAAGGGCUCGUAGGUGGUUGAUCGCGUCGGAAGUGUAAUCUUGGGGCUUAACCCUGAGCGUGCUUUCGAUACGGGUUGACUUGAGGAAGGUAGGGGAGAAUGGAAUUCCUGGUGGAGCGGUGGAAUGCGCAGAUAUCAGGAGGAACACCAGUGGCGAAGGCGGUUCUCUGGGCCUUUCCUGACGCUGAGGAGCGAAAGCGUGGGGAGCGAACAGGCUUAGAUACCCUGGUAGUCCACGCUGUAAACGGUGGGUACUAGGUGUGGGGUCCAUUCCACGGGUUCCGUGCCGUAGCUAACGCUUUAAGUACCCCGCCUGGGGAGUACGGCCGCAAGGCUAAAACUCAAAGGAAUUGACGGGGCCCCGCACAAGCGGCGGAGCAUGCGGAUUAAUUCGAUGCAACGCGUAGAACCUUACCUGGGUUUGACAUGGAUCGGGAGUGCUCAGAGAUGGGUGUGCCUCUUUUGGGGUCGGUUCACAGGUGGUGCAUGGCUGUCGUCAGCUCGUGUCGUGAGAUGUUGGGUUAAGUCCCGCAACGAGCGCAACCCUUGUUCACUGUUGCCAGCACGUUAUGGUGGGGACUCAGUGGAGACCGCCGGGGUCAACUCGGAGGAAGGUGGGGAUGACGUCAAGUCAUCAUGCCCCUUAUGUCCAGGGCUUCACGCAUGCUACAAUGGCUGGUACAGAGAGUGGCGAGCCUGUGAGGGUGAGCGAAUCUCGGAAAGCCGGUCUCAGUUCGGAUUGGGGUCUGCAACUCGACCUCAUGAAGUCGGAGUCGCUAAUAAUCGCAGAUCAGCAACGCUGCGGUGAAUACGUUCCCGGGGAU